GUGGCCUCGCCGCGCCCUGCUCCGGGGCGUCGCCGUGCAGAUAAGCAGCAGUAGGAACGAGGCGUUCGUUCUAGUACUAGGUGCCGCCUGUACAGGAGCUUCUCCGGCCAGGAGUCGAUCACAUCCGUUGGUGCUACCUUGAGAGGGGCUGCAAGUUUUCAGGAAGUAACAAGGCAAGAGGCAUUGGAGCUGCACAAAGACACUUGAGUCUUGUCUGUAAUUUGGAGUUGUACAAGGGCAUCCGAUAAUUUGGCUAUCAAGUACUUGUUAUCUUUAAGAUCUUGUGAUAAGUGUGCAUAAGAGUAUGUGGGAAGGCUGCUGUUGGGCAAGCCGUGGCGGCGUGUGUUCAGCGCGCCGCAACCGCGCUGGUGGUGCUAUGUCGUUUUCUGCUACAAUUCUCUCAGUUGAAGGAAUCUGGAAGACCUGGAGCGGUGGCCUUCUUCUUCCACUCCAUGUUGUGUCCAGGUAGAUUCUGAGUAUGUGAGGCUGCUGCUCUAUAGACCGUGACGGCGAGUUAACGGUGCCGCAACCGCAGUGGUGGUGCCAUCACGGCAGCGCCUAAAACUCUGUCAGGUAUACUUUCUUCUGACAUUUCCCGUCGGAGGGAUGUCAUGUGCCAAGCAAAGUCACGGAUGGGGAAGCCUGCUUGUUGUAUUACCAGGUUGCUCUAUUCUAUGGAGGUGUUCACAUAAAGAAUCCCUAAGGAUUUAUUUUGCUGCCGUCACUGUGGUGGGCACACCUGGAAGGAUUCUAGCUCUAGCUAGAGAGAAGGACCUUUCUUUGAAGAAUGUGAAGCAUUUCAAUCUUGAUGAGUGUGAUAAGAUGAUAGAGUCACUUGGUAUAUGAGAAUACUGCAAAAAGAAGAAUGCGAACCAGUGGCUGAGGGCCAUCACUUGGAACGAAGUGGUUUGGAUGUCCAAAAAACAGGCAAGGUCUUGCCAAAAUUUUGAGUACACCCGUGGUAAUUAAUCUUGGUGCGGUAGUCAGGAAGCAUGAACCAGAAAGACAUCUUGUCAUGUGUAGUGCUGCUUUUCGGUCCUUGUAAUAUUCGGUAGUACUCGACGCUGUAAAAUCUAUUUCUGGAAUGCUCCAGGCUUGGGUAGUUGCAACAAUUUGGUAAAUGUGGACGUGUGUGAUGUUUGUUCCUAGCUCGUGCUUGUCUUUGGGUUUGAUAAAUGGUUGGAUGGUGUGCUGUACAAACAUUUAUUCUACUGUUAUAUAUUGUUUGAUCUGCGGUCUGGAUGUUGCAAAAUAGGAAAGAUGAUGGCAAAAUUUUGAGCACUAUGGCUGAUUAAA
Long non-coding RNA from Lolium rigidum, 1296 nucleotides. RefSeq lists it as uncharacterized. Lineage: Eukaryota; Viridiplantae; Streptophyta; Magnoliopsida; Poales; Poaceae. The transcript is spliced from 9 exons. The record is from RefSeq and is a predicted model, not a curated record.